This 465-nucleotide ribosomal RNA is filed under the name uncultured bacterium. RNAcentral describes it as "bacterial SSU rRNA". It matches the Rfam family "Bacterial small subunit ribosomal RNA", at positions 53 to 511 of the family's 1533-position model. The record is from RNAcentral.
CCAUGCAGUCGACGGUACAGGAAGAGCUUGCUUCUUUGCUGACGAGUGGCGGACGGGUGAGUAAUGUCUGGGAAACUGCCUGAUGGAGGGGGAUAACUACUGGAAACGGUAGCUAAUACCGCAUAACGUCGCAAGACCAAAGAGGGGGACCUUCGGGCCUCUUGCCAUCGGAUGUGCCCAGAUGGGAUUAGCUAGUAGGUGGGGUAACGGCUCACCUAGGCGACGAUCCCUAGCUGGUCUGAGAGGAUGACCAGCCACACUGGAACUGAGACACGGUCCAGACUCCUACGGGAGGCAGCAGUGGGGAAUAUUGCACAAUGGGCGCAAGCCUGAUGCAGCCAUGCCGCGUGUAUGAAGAAGGCCUUCGGGUUGUAAAGUACUUUCAGCGGGGAGGAAGGGAGUAAAGUUAAUACCUUUGCUCAUUGACGUUACCCGCAGAAGAAGCACCGGCUAACUCCGUGCCAG